CAAGAGCGUAUGUAAAAGUUGUUGCAGUUAAAAAGCUCGUAGUUGAACCUUGAGUUUGGUUGGCCGGUCCGCUUUUUUGCGAGUACUGGAUUCAACCGAGCCUUUCCUUCUGGCUAACCAGUCGUUUCGGCGGCUGGCGAACCAGGAUUUUUACUUUGAGAAAAUUAGAGUGUUCAAAGCAGGCAUUAGCUUGAAUAUAUUAGCAUGGAAUAAUAGAAUAGGACGUUAUGGUUCUAUUUUGUUGGUUUCUAGGACCAUCGUAAUGAUUAAUAGGGACGGUCGGGGGCAUCAGUAUUCAGUUGUCAGAGGUGAAAUUCUUGGAUUUACUGAAGACUAACUACUGCGAAAGCAUUUGCCAAGGACGUUUUCAUUAA
Molecule: ribosomal RNA, 374 nt
Filed under: uncultured eukaryote
Lineage: Eukaryota
Description: partial 18S ribosomal RNA
Rfam family: Eukaryotic small subunit ribosomal RNA
Source: RNAcentral